RNAcentral lists this unclassified non-coding RNA (291 nucleotides) under fungal sp. RNAcentral's name for it is "partial internal transcribed spacer region". The stretch from base 1 to 46 matches the Rfam family "Eukaryotic small subunit ribosomal RNA", at positions 1786 to 1831 of the family's 1831-position model. The record is from RNAcentral. Lineage: Eukaryota; Fungi.
AAGUCGUAACAAGGUUUCCGUAGGUGAACCUGCGGAAGGAUCAUUGAAAGGAUCUUUUUUCCGGAGAUGCUGUCCCUGACCCGCGAAGGUAUUUCGCGGGAAGGCGGUGUCUCUCCCGCUUCGGUGUUUCAUCGAAGCGUUGGAACUCGUGAUUUCGCUCCGCGUGAGUGACGAUGCGCCGUCUUUUCGAGACGCAUGUUUUUGUUGGUCAAAAUGCACAGCGUGGAGCAUUUUCGAAAAAAAAAAAAAAUAAAGCCAUCACAACUUUUGACAACGGAUCUCUUGGCUCUC